CACAAAAAGCAUACCACAGUUAUAAGACAUGGACUAAAGAAAUCAAUAUCUAACAAAUAUGUCAAGGGAUCAUCUGUUUGUGCAAAAGAAAGGGGUGGCUGCCUGGCUGUGAUAUAACCCUAGUUGCCAGCUCGGUGUAAAACAUCUCCUCAAUUUGCAGAUGUUCCUGCAUUUUUUAAAUGAUGAGGUAUCCCGAGAGCGUUUAACCAAUCUGAGAGGUACUAACAGUUGAAGGUGUCUGCCCUUUUAUUAUCAAUGUUGUAACACUACCUAAGAAUAAGGAUAUAAUUACAAGAUCCAAUUAGAAAGACAAGGUAUGAUUUUAACUACUUU
This is a long non-coding RNA of Pomacea canaliculata, 333 nucleotides long. RefSeq lists it as uncharacterized. NCBI's taxonomy places the organism in Eukaryota, Metazoa, Mollusca, Gastropoda, Architaenioglossa, Ampullariidae. The transcript is spliced from 2 exons. The record is from RefSeq and is a predicted model, not a curated record.